AUUUUGGCAAUCACCUGAAUUAACACUUGAAGAAAAUUUAUUCUGGACCACAAAAUUUAUUCAAGUGUGCAGCUUGAACCAUCACUACCAUUUUAGCAUAUGGACCAUGAAAGAAUCCUAUGCAGUACAAUUUGUGUACAAUGUAAAAGGAGUAAAAAUAUUAAACGCCAGCAGAAAUGUUGUAUCUGGAAAAGGUCAGUUCAUGUGGAAUCCUUGUCGAUAUCAACAGUAUCAAUAGGCUGGACAAAUAUCCUCCAAACUUCUUCCUAAGUACUCGAUGAUGUCACCAGUGAGAGUUGAUCUUUUCCUAUUCUCAAAAGCAAGUGAUGCAACCCUCCUCAAUAAAGCAAACCCAGCAAUGCACCCUGACAAUGUUGGAUUUGUUGGUCUGACUGCUAAAUUCCCUUCAGCAGCCAAGAUAUAUUGGCGAGCCCAAGAUAAAAAUACCGCAACACUUCCUGAAAGGAUAUCACCUUGACCCCCACAACGCCUAGGUGAACCAUAGAUGCUCACUGAUUUGACUAUCUCACCAUCAGUAAUAAGGUCAGAUUUUCCUUUCCAUAAGAUGGUUACACCCCUCAUCCUGCCCAAUAAAAGAAAAUACCCGAUUCUAUAAGACUCUUCCAAAAUAGAAUGCACAAUCAACUAGGGACUGUAGCUUUUGAUAAUCGGAGCAGCAUCUUUGGUACAUUAAUACAUGGGACAAAACAGCACCCACAGUUUGCAGAAAAUAAGUCUGCAGCGAAUGAGCUGCCGGAGAACGAGUAGGAUCUGCCGAGAAUGAGCCAAACCAGUUAAGAAUGAGCUAGAUCUGCUGAGGACGAUUCUAUGUUGAGAUUGAUGACACCGAAGAAGAAGCGACCGACGAAGCGCCGAAUAGGAAUGAGGUGAAGUUCUCAUCCGAUGAGAAAUGGCCGAAGAGCUACUGGAGAAAGAAGUGGGGAAUUGGAGGAAUGAUGGAAGGAC
RNAcentral lists this unclassified non-coding RNA (966 nucleotides) under Hevea brasiliensis (rubber tree). The record is from RNAcentral. Lineage: Eukaryota; Viridiplantae; Streptophyta; Magnoliopsida; Malpighiales; Euphorbiaceae.